This 249-nucleotide ribosomal RNA is filed under the name uncultured euryarchaeote. RNAcentral describes it as "partial 16S ribosomal RNA". It matches the Rfam family "Archaeal small subunit ribosomal RNA", at positions 478 to 726 of the family's 1478-position model. The record is from RNAcentral. Lineage: Archaea; Methanobacteriati; Methanobacteriota.
GGCGGCCCGAGUGGUAGCCGCUAUUAUUGGGUUUAAAGGGUCCGUAGCCGGCUUAUUAAGUCUUUUGGGAAAUCUGGCGGCUCAAUCGUCAGGCGUCCAAAAGAUACUGGUAGGCUUGGGACCGGGAGAGGUGGGAGGUACUCCAGGGGUAGGGGUGAAAUCUCGUAAUCCUUGGGGGACCACCGAUGGCGAAGGCAUCCCACCAGAACGGGUCCGACGGUGAGGGACGAAAGCUGGGGGCACGAACCG